RNAcentral lists this long non-coding RNA (1077 nucleotides) under Manihot esculenta (cassava). Its description in RNAcentral is "long non-coding RNA (MESC_LNC001368)". Lineage: Eukaryota; Viridiplantae; Streptophyta; Magnoliopsida; Malpighiales; Euphorbiaceae. The record is from RNAcentral.
CUAAGAGCAAAAAACAGAAUCAAUAAGGGAAAAAAAAAAGAAAAUUCACUUUCCAAAGCUUUAAAAUUUUCAAAUUUGUUACAUAAAUGUCAAUAGCCACUAUAAACUGAACACCUGCAUUGCUAAUCUGCAAUCUCUCUCCUGUAUAUUUGUAUUCUCUGAAACUCCGACCUUUCAUUUUAACAUGCCGUACCCGUGUUGACACGACACUCCAUGGAAUACGACAUGAAAUACAUGUCCGACACAUAUUCGUGCAAUCGGAUGCUUGAGUGAUCUAUUUACGCAUAAUUAACAAAACAUUCUUUUCUCUCAAGAUAAAGAACAUGCAUUUAAAUAAAAUUAGUUAUUUGAUUGUAUUUUGAAUGGUGCACUUGGUUGUAAUUGGCCAUCUAUUUAGACUAUAAUUAUUACUACAUGUAGUAACUUUUUAUUUUUCUAUUCUAGUUUAUUUUAUAUAACAUAACGUAUUCAAGCACCCGUAUCUAAAUUUAGAUCCAUAUUUCCAUAUUUUCUAUUUAAAAAGUUGACAAGUCAGACAUGGAGUAUAUAUCCAUUUUGGACAACCGUAUCCGAGUCUAACAUAGUUUGUAUUAUGUCCAUUGAACCGUAUCCGAGUCUAACAUAGUUUGUAUUAUGUCCAUUGAUUGUUUCUCAAUACAAUGAUUAUUGAUAUGAUUUCAAAAAAGGCUAGAAGACAGCAAAGAUCUUGCAGAAUUUCAAUAUCCACAGUGUAAAUGAGCAUGUUCCCAAAAUGAUUAGGAAACUUGUAUGCAUUGGAAAACAUCAGAUUGCCUUUUAAAUAGUUGAAGAAGAAACUGCAUGCCAUACAAACGGAAUCCUCCAUUUCAGUGCUUCAUUUGACAUCUUUUUAAAUUCUUAUGAAUAAAACAAUUCAACUGUAGAGGCCUCAGACUGCAAAAUGAGCAGAUUUCAAAUACAAAAGACACUAAUUCCAACACAAAUCCACUUGAAAGGUGCAUUAAAAAGAAAUUAUUGGACAAAAAUUAUAUAGCAAAGUACCAGCAGAAAAAACAAAAAGAAUUCAAGUGCCUUCCUCUAAAACUAUAGCUUACCUUG